AACGAACGCUGGCGGCAUGCCUAACACAUGCAAGUCGAACGGGAUCCUAGCUUGCUAGGUGAGAGUGGCGGACGGGUGAGUAACACGUGGGAAUCUGCCUUUUGGUUCGGGAUAACCGCGGGAAACUGCGGCUAAUACCGAAUGCCCUCGAGAGAGGAAAGAUUUAUCGCCAGAAGAGGAGCCCGCGUCCGAUUAGGUAGUUGGUGGGGUAAAGGCCUACCAAGCCGACGAUCGGUAGCUGGUCUGAGAGGAUGAUCAGCCACACUGGGACUGAGAUACGGCCCAGACUCCUACGGGAGGCAGCAGUGGGAAUAUUGGACAAUGGGGGCAACCCUGAUCCAGCAAUGCCGCGUGAGUGAUGAAGGCCUUAGGGUUGUAAAGCUCUUUUGCCAGGGAAGAUGAUGACUGUACCUGGAGAAUAAGCUCCGGCUAACUCCGUGCCAGCAGCCGCGGUAAU
RNAcentral lists this ribosomal RNA (457 nucleotides) under uncultured bacterium. RNAcentral describes it as "bacterial SSU rRNA". It matches the Rfam family "Bacterial small subunit ribosomal RNA", at positions 29 to 524 of the family's 1533-position model. The record is from RNAcentral.